This 53-nucleotide non-coding RNA is filed under the name unclassified sequences. RNAcentral describes it as "Li+-I sequence". It matches the Rfam family "nhaA-I RNA". Rfam says of the family: Acidobacteria, Alphaproteobacteria, Betaproteobacteria and Gammaproteobacteria, Verrucomicrobia, cand. division NC10. Downstream gene The record is from Rfam by way of RNAcentral.
GGGUCUGGCAAUGAAAUGCGUGCCAGAGGAUAAAGAUGGUCGGGCCGCCAUCU